This 591-nucleotide ribosomal RNA is filed under the name uncultured soil bacterium. Its description in RNAcentral is "bacterial SSU rRNA". It matches the Rfam family "Bacterial small subunit ribosomal RNA", at positions 35 to 670 of the family's 1533-position model. The record is from RNAcentral.
GCUGGCGGCAGGCUUAACACAUGCAAGUCGAGCGCUCGUAGCAAUACGGGAGCGGCAGACGGGAGAGUAACACGUGGGAACGUACCCUUCGGUUCGGAAUAACCCAGGGAAACUUGGGCUAAUACCGAAUACGUCCGAAAGGAGAAAGAUUUAUCGCCGAGGGAUCGGCCCGCGUCCGAUUAGCUAGUUGGUGAGGUAAUGGCUCACAAAGGCGACGAUCGGUAGCUGGUCUGAGAGGAUGAUCAGCCUCACUGGGACUGAGACACGGCCCAGACUCCUACGGGAGGCAGCAGUGGGGAAUAUUGGACAAUGGGCGCAAGCCUGAUCCAGCCAUGCCGCGUGGGUGAUGAAGGCCUUAGGGUUGUAAAGCCCUUUCGGCGGGGAAGAUAAUGACGGUACCCGCAGAAGAAGCCCCGGCUAACUUCGUGCCAGCAGCCGCGGUAAUACGAAGGGGGCUAGCGUUGCUCGGAAUCACUGGGCGUAAAGCGCACGUAGGCGGGUCUUUAAGUCAGGGGUGAAAUCCUGGAGCUCAACUCCAGAACUGCCUUUGAUACUGAGGAUCUCGAGUUCGGGAGAGGUGAGUGGAACUGC